Gallus gallus (chicken) is the source of this 7619-nucleotide long non-coding RNA. The record is from Ensembl. NCBI's taxonomy places the organism in Eukaryota, Metazoa, Chordata, Aves, Galliformes, Phasianidae.
AUGGAUGGAGGGAUGGAUGGAUGGACAGACGGACAUGAGGCCUUUGGUGCCCCCAAUGGCGGGGUUGGGUGGUGGUUGGGUUGGCCAACGCUCUACUGGAGCGUCAGCCUUGGAGAGUAGAUCUGCUUCAUCUGCCUCUCAUUGGGUGGUGGGUGGAGGGAUGGAUGGACGGACAGAUGGACAGAUGGAUGGAGGGAUGGAGGGUUGGAUGGACAGACGGACACGAGGCCCUCGGUGACCCCAAUAGGGUUGGGUGGUGGUUGGGUGGUGGUUGGGGUUGGUCAACGCUCUACCGGAGCGUCAGCCUUGGAGAGUACAUCGGCUUCGUCUGCCUCUCAUUGGGUGGUGGGUGGGGGGUGGACGGACAGAUGGAUGGAUGGAUGGAUGGAGGGAGGGAGGGAUGGAUGGACAGACGGACGUGAGGCCCUCGGUGACCCCAAUGGGGGUGGAGGGGGGUUGGGUGGUGGUUGGGUUGGCCAGCGCUCUACCGGAGCGUCAGCCUUUGAGAGUACAUCGGCUUCGUCUGCCUCUCAUUGGGUGGUGGGUGGGGGGUGGACGGACAGACGGAUGGAUGGAGGGAUGGAUGGAGGGAGGGAGGGAUGGACAGACGGACAUGAGGCCCUCGGUGACCCCAAUAGGGUUGGGUGGUGGUUGGGUGGUGGUUGGGUUGGCCAACGCUCUACCGGAGCGUCAGCCUUGGAGAGUACAUCGGCUUCGUCUGCCUCUCAUUGGGUGGUGGGUGGAGGGAUGGAUGGACGGACAGAUGGACGGAUGGAUGGAGGGAUGGAUGGAGAGAGGGAGGGAUGGACAGACGGACACGAGGCCUUUGGUGCCCCCAGUGGGGGUGGAGGGGGGGUUGGGUGGUUGUUGGGUCAUGGAUGGAGGGAUGGAUGGAGGGGAAGGAUGGAUGGAGGGAUGGAUGGAUGGAUGGAUGGAUGGACAUGAGGCCUUCGGUGCCCCCAAUGGGGGUGGAGGGGGGGUUGGGUGGUGGUUGGGUCAUGGAUGGAGGGAUGGAGGGGUGGAUGGAUGGAGGAAUGGAAGGAUGGAUGGAGGGAUGGAGGGGAAGGAGGGCUGGAUGGAUGGACAGGUGGAUGGAUGGACAGACGGACACGAGGCCCUCGGUGAUCCCAAUGGGGGCGGAGGGGGGGGGUUGGGUGGUGGUUGCAUCAUGAAUGGAUGGAGGGAUGGGGGGAUGGAGGGAUGGAUGCAUGGAUGGAUGAAUGGACAGAUGGAUGGACAGAUGGACAGGUGGAGGGAUGGACAGACGGACACGAGGCCCUCGGUGCCCUCAAUGGGGGAGGAAGGUUGGCCAACGCUCUACGGGCGGUGUUGGAGUUCCGGUAGGCCUAAAAUGGGGUGAAAAAGGCCAAAAUUGGGGGCUUUUGGGGUGGGUUUGGCACCAAAACGACGUCGGUUGGGUGUCGUGGUCUCUUCCGUGGCCAAAAUGGGGCAAAAAAACCCAAAUUUGGGCACUUUUGAGGUGUGUUUGCCACCAAAAUGAUGUCGGUUGGGUCUUCCUUCUUCCCGUUGGCCAAAAUGGGGUGAAAAGACCCAAAAUUGGUUGCUUUUGAGGUGUGUUUGCCACCAAAAUGGUGUCGGUUGGGUGUCAUGGCCUUUUCCAUAACCAAAAUGGGGUGAAGAGACCCAAAAUAGGGCACUUUUGGGGUUUGUUUUCCCCCCAAACACCACCAGUUGGAUCUCCCUUCUUCCCGUUGGCCAAAAUGGGUCAAAAAACCCCAAAAUUGGGCACUUUUGGGGUGUGUUUUCCUCCCAAAUCACCACCAGUUGGGUUUCCAACACCACCAGUUGGGUCUACCAUCUUUCAUUGGCCAAAAUGGGUCAAAAAACCCCAAAUUUGGGGACUUUUGGGGUGUGUUUUCCCCCCAAAUACCACCAGUUGGGUCUCCCUUCUUCCCGUUGGCCAAAAUGUGUCAAAAAAACCCCAAAUUGGGCACUUUUGAGGUGUUUUCCCCCCCAAACCCCACACAUUGGAUCUCCCAACACAACCGGUUGGGUCUACCAUCUUUCGUUGGCCAAAAUGGGUCAAAAAACCCCAAAUUUGGGCACUUUUGAGGUGUGUUUUCCCCCCAAAGCCCACACAUUGGAUCUCCCAACACCACCAGUUUGGUCUCCCUACUUCCAAUUGGCCAAAAUGAGUCCAAAAACCCCAAAUUUGGGCACUUCUGAGGUGUGUUUUCCCCCCAAAUACCACCAGUUGGGUCUACUUUCUUCCCGUUGGCCAAAAUGGGUCAAAAAAUCCCAAAAUAGGGCACUUUUGGGGUGUGUUUUCCCCCCAAACACGACCAGUUGGGUCUCCCAUCUUCUUGUUGGCCAAAAUGGGUCAAAAAGCCCUAAAUUUGGGCACUUUUAAGGAUGUGUUUUCCCCCCAAACCCCAAACAUUGGAUCUGCCAACACAACCGGAUGGGUCUACCAUCUUUCAUUGGCCAAAAUGGGUCCAAAAACCCCAAAUUUGGGCACUUUUGAGGGGUGUUUUCCCCCCAAACACCACCAGUUGGGUCUCCCUUCUUCCCGUUGGCCAAAAUGGGUCCAAAAACCCCAAAAUUGGGCACUUUUGAGGUGUGUUUUCCCCCCAAAUCACCACCAGUUGGGUCUCCCUACUUCCCGUUGGCCAAAAUAGGUCAAAAAAACCCCAAAUUGGGCACUUUUGGGGUGUUUUCCCCCCCAAACCCCACACAUUGGAUCUCCCAACACCACCAGUUGGCUCUACCAUCUUUCAUUGGCCAAAAUGGGUCAAAAAACCCCAAAAUUGGGCACUUUUGGGGUGUGUUUUCACCCCACAUGACUACCAGUUGGGUCUCCCUUCUUCCCGUUGGCCAAAAUGGGUCCAAAAACCCCAAAUUUGGGCACUUUUGGGGUGUAUUUCCCUCCCAAAUCACCACCAGUUGGCUCUACCAUCUUUCAUUGGCCAAAAUGGAUCAAAAAAACCCCAAAUUGGGCACUUUUGAGGUGAGUUUCCCUUCCAAACACCACCAGUUGGGUCUCCCUUCUUCCCGUUGGCCAAAAUGGGUCAAAAAACCCCAAAAUUGGGCACUUUUGGGGUGUGUUUUCCUCCCAAAUCACCACCAGUUGGGUUUCCACCACCACCAGUUGGGUCUACCAUCUUUCAUUGGCCAAAAUGGAUCCAAAAACCCCAAAUUGGGGGACUUUUGGGGUGUGUUUUCCCCCCAAAUACCACCAGUUGGGUCUCCCUUCUUCCCGUUGGCCAAAAUGGGUCAAAAAACCCCAAGAUUGGGCACUUUUGAGGUGUAUUUCCCCCCAAACCCCAAACAUUGGAUCUCCCAACACCACCAGUUGGGUCUCCCAUCUUUCAUUGGCCAAAAUGGGUCCAAAAACCCCAAAUUGGGGCACUUUUGAGGUGUGUUUUCCCCCCUACCACCACCACUUGGGUCUACUUUCUUCCCAUUGGCCAAAAUGGGUCCAAAAACCCCAAAUUGGGGCACUUUUGAGGGGUGUUUUCCCCCCAAAUCACCACCAGUUGGGUCUCCCAUCUUUCAUUGGCCAAAAUGGGUCAAAAAACCCCAAAUUGGGCACUUUUGAGGUGAGUUUCCCUUCCAAACACCACCAGUUGGGUCUCCCUUCUUCCUGUUGGCCUAAAAUGGGUCAAAAAACCCCAAAUUUGGGCACUUUUGGGGUGUAUUUCCCUCCAAACACCACCAGUUGGGUCUACUUUCUUCCCGUUGGCCAAAAUGGGUCAAAAAACCCCAAAAUUGGGCACUUUUGAGGUGUGUUUUCCCCCCAAAGCCCACACAUUGGAUCUCCCAACACCACCAGUUUGGUCUCCCUACUUCCAAUUGGCCAAAAUGAGUCCAAAAACCCCAAAUUUGGGCACUUCUGAGGUGUGUUUUCCCCCCAAAUACCACCAGUUGGGUCUACUUUCUUCCCGUUGGCCAAAAUGGGUCAAAAAAUCCCAAAAUUGGGCACUUUUGGGGUGUGUUUUCCCCCCAAACACGACCAGUUGGGUCUCCCAUCUUCUUGUUGGCCAAAAUGGGUCAAAAAGCCCUAAAUUUGGGCACUUUUAAGGAUGUGUUUUCCCCCCAAACCCCAAACAUUGGAUCUCCCAACACAACCGGAUGGGUCUACCAUCUUUCAUUGGCCAAAAUGGGUCCAAAAACCCCAAAUUUGGGCACUUUUGAGGGGUGUUUUCCCCCCAAACACCACCAGUUGGGUCUCCCUUCUUCCCGUUGGCCAAAAUGGGUCCAAAAACCCCAAAAUUGGGCACUUUUGGGGUGUGUUUUCCUCCCAAAUCACCACCAGUUGGGUUUCCAACACCACCAGUUGGGUCUACCAUCUUUCAUUGGCCAAAAUGGGUCCAAAAACCCCAAAUUUGGGGACUUUUGGGGUGUGUUUUCCCCCCAAACACCACCAGUUGGGUCUCCCUUCUUCCCGUUGGCCAAAAUGUGUCAAAAAACCCCAAAUUUGGCACUUUUGAGGUGUUUUCCCCCCCAAACCCCACACAUUGGAUCUCCCAACACCACCGGUUGGGUCUCCCAUCUUUCAUUGGCCAAAAUGGGUCCAAAAACCCCAAAUUUAGGCACUUUUGAGGUAUGUUUUCCCCCCAAAUCACCACCGGUUGGGUCUCCCAUCUUUCAUUGGCCAAAAUGGGUCCAAAAACCCCAAAAUUGGGCACUUUUGCGGUGUGUUUUCCCCCCACAUGACUACCAGUUGGGUCUCCCUUCUUCCCGUUGGCCAAAAUGGGUCCAAAAACCCCAAAUUUGGGCACUUUUGGGGUGUGUUUUCCCCCCAAACCCCAAACAUUGGAUCUCCCAACACAACCGGAUGGGUCUACCAUCUUUCAUUGGCCAAAAUGGGUCCAAAAACCCCAAGUUUAGGCACUUUUGGGGUAUCUUUUCCCCCCAAAUCACUACCAGUUGGGUCUCCCAUCUUCCCGUUGGCCAAAAUGGGUCCAAAAACCCCAAAUUUGGGCACUUUUGGGGUGUGUUUUCCCCCCAAACCCCAAACAUUGGAUCUCCCAACACAACCGGAUGGGUCUACCAUCUUUCAUUGGCCAAAAUGGGUCCAAAAACCCCAAAUUUGGGCACUUUUGAGGGGUGUUUUCCCCCCAAACACCACCAGUUGGGUCUCCCUUCUUCCCGUUGGCCAAAAUGGGUCCAAAAACCCCAAAAUUGGGCACUUUUGAGGUGUGUUUUCCCCCCAAAUCACCACCAGUUGGGUCUCCCUACUUCCCGUUGGCCAAAAUAGGUCAAAAAAACCCCAAAUUGGGCACUUUUGGGGUGUUUUCCCCCCCAAACCCCACACAUUGGAUCUCCCAACACCACCAGUUGGCUCUACCAUCUUUCAUUGCCCAAAAUGGGUCAAAAAACCCCAAAUUUGGGCACUUUUGGGGUGUUUUCCCCCCCAAACCCCAAACAUUGGAUCUCCCAACACCACCAGUUGGGUCUACCAUCUUUCAUUGGCCAAAAUGGGUCAAAAAACCCCAAAAUUGGGCACUUUCGAGGUGUGUUUUCCCCCCAAACCCCACACAUUGGAUCUCCCAACACAACUGGUUGGCUCUACCAUCUUUCAUUGGCCAAAAUGGGUCCAAAAACCCCAAAUUGGGGCACUUUUGAGGUGUGUUUUCCCCCCAAAUCACCACCAGUUGGGUCUCCCAUCUUUCAUUGGCCAAAAUGGGUCCAAAAACCCCAAAUUUGGGCACUUUUGAGGUGCGUUUUCCCCCCAAAUCACCACCAGUUGGGUCUCCCAUCUUUCAUUGGCCAAAAUGGGUCAAAAAACCCCAAAAUUGGGCACUUUUGGGGUGUUUUCCCCCCCCAAAGUCCCCCCACCCGGUUGGGGGCAGCCAUGAGAACCGCUUGGGUUGGAGCCGCCCCAUUCAACCCCAUUAUGGGGUUGGGGGGGGUCUCAAUUCUGUGCCCCCCACCCCAAUAUAUCCCCUAUAUCCUCCCCCCCCCCCUCCCCCCAACCCCAAACCUGAGGAUUUUGGGGGUAUUUUGGGGGUCAUUUUGAGGGUUUUCUGCCCCGGAAUGAACUCCGGAUUUAACUUAAAUUAAAACUUCUAUUCUCAAUUUCACAUUGACCCCAAAUUGCCUUUUCUUCACCCAUUUCUGAGUCUGAAAAGUGGUGGUUUUUGUUCACCGAACCCACUGUUUUAAUGCCUCAAACCCCCAUUUUUCACCCCAAAAUCCCCUCUAAACCCCCAUUUUUCACCCCCCAUCCCCUCAAAAACUCCCCAAACCCCCAUUUUUCACCCCAAAAUCCCCUCAAAAGCCCCAUUUUCCACCCCAAAACCACCCCAAAAUCCCCUCCAAACCCCCACAGCCCCCAUUUUCCACCCCAAAACCCCCCCAAACCGCCAUUUUCCUACCCCAGAAUCCCCAUUUUCCACCCCAAAACCACCCCAAAAUCCCCUCUAAACCCUCAAACCCCCCAAUUUCCACCCCAAACCCCCAUUUUUCACCCCAAAACCUCCCCCGAACCCCCCAUUUCCCACCCAAAAAUCCCCCAAACCCCAAUUUCUACCCCAAAACCCCCCACAACCCACCCAUUUUCCACCCCAAAACCACCCCAAAAUCCCUUCCAAACCCUCAACCCCCCCAAUUUCCACCCCAAACCCCCCUUUUCCACCCCAAAAUCCCCUCCAAACCCCCAACCCCCCCAUUUUUCUACCCCAAACCCCCAUUUUCCACCCCAAAAUCCCCCCAACCCCCCCAUUUUCCACCCCAAAACCACCCCAAAAUCCCUUCCAAACCCUCAACCCCCCCAUUUUCCACCCCAAACCCCCCCCAAACCGCCAUUUUCCUACCCCAGAAUCCCCAUUUUCCACCCCAAAACCACCCCAAAAUCCCCUCUAAACCCUCAAACCCCCCAAUUUCCACCCCAAACCCCCAUUUUUCACCCCAAAACCUCCCCCGAACCCCCCAUUUCCCACCCAAAAAUCCCCCAAACCCCAAUUUCUACCACAAAACCCCCCACAACCCACCCAUUUUCCACCCCAAAACCACCCCAAAAUCCCCUCCAAACCCCCAUAGCCCCCAAUUUCCACCCCAAACCCCCCUUUUCCACCCCAAAAUCCCCUCCAAACCCCCAACUCCCCCAUUUUUCUACCCCAAACCCCCAUUUUCCACCCCAAAAUCUCCCCAACCCCCCCAUUUUCCACCCCAAAACCACCCCAAAAUCCCUUCCAAACCCUCAACCCCCCCAUUUUCCACCCCAAAAUCCCCCCCAAACCCCCAACCCCCCCAUUUUUCACCCCAAAACCACCCCAAAAUCCCCUCCAAACCCCCACAGCCCCCAUUUUCCACCCCAAAACCCCCCCAAACCGCCAUUUUCCUACCCCAAAAUCCCCAUUUUCCACCCCAAAACCACCCCAAAAUCCCCUCUAAACCCUCAAACCCCCCAAUUUCCACCCCAAACCCCCAUUUUUCACCCCAAAACCUCCCCCGAACCCCCCAUUUCCCACCCAAAAAUCCCCCAAACCCCAAUUUCUACCCCAAAACCCCCCACAACCCACCCAUUUUCCACCCCAAAACCACCCCAAAAUCCCCUCCAAACCCCCAUACCCCCCAAUUUCCACCCCAAACCCCCAUUUCCCCCCCAAACCCCCCAAAACCCCCCCCCAAAAAGACCCCCACAGCGCUUCAGG